AAAUUGAAGAGUUUGAUCAUGGCUCAGAUUGAACGCUGGCGGCAGGCCUAACACAUGCAAGUCGAGCGGAAACGAGUUAUCUGAACCUUCGGGGGACGAUAACGGCGUCGAGCGGCGGACGGGUGAGUAAUGCCUAGGAAAUUGCCCUGAUGUGGGGGAUAACCAUUGGAAACGAUGGCUAAUACCGCAUGAUGCCUACGGGCCAAAGAGGGGGACCUUCGGGCCUCUCGCGUCAGGAUAUGCCUAGGUGGGAUUAGCUAGUUGGUGAGGUAAGGGCUCACCAAGGCGACGAUCCCUAGCUGGUCUGAGAGGAUGAUCAGCCACACUGGAACUGAGACACGGUCCAGACUCCUACGGGAGGCAGCAGUGGGGAAUAUUGCACAAUGGGCGCAAGCCUGAUGCAGCCAUGCCGCGUGUGUGAAGAAGGCCUUCGGGUUGUAAAGCACUUUCAGUCGUGAGGAAGGUAGUGUAGUUAAUAGCACUA
Molecule: ribosomal RNA, 484 nt
Filed under: Vibrio parahaemolyticus
Lineage: Bacteria; Pseudomonadati; Pseudomonadota; Gammaproteobacteria; Vibrionales; Vibrionaceae
Description: bacterial SSU rRNA
Rfam family: Bacterial small subunit ribosomal RNA
Source: RNAcentral